Molecule: long non-coding RNA, 223 nt
Organism: Bombus pascuorum
Lineage: Eukaryota; Metazoa; Arthropoda; Insecta; Hymenoptera; Apidae
Exons: 2
Source: RefSeq, a predicted model, not a curated record
GCCCCGCCUCAUCCAUUGAAAUUGAUGGGGCAAGCUACGCAGCAGUUGCAUGUGGAAAAUCGAACUGAUGAGAUGUUUUUAAUGUUACUCCGCGUCAGGUAUCUGUUCUUCCAAUACUUCGUACAUUCUUUCGCGCUUAACUUAGUUUAAUUGACCUUUCGUCUUCGUUUGUGCAUAUUAUUGAUCCAUUGCGAGGGAAACUUGGAUGCAUUAGAGUGGAUUA